AACGAACGCUGGCGGCAUGCCUAACACAUGCAAGUCGAACGAGACCUUCGGGUCUAGUGGCGCACGGGUGCGUAACGCGUGGGAACCUGCCCUUAGGUUCGGAAUAACUCCCCGAAAGGGGUGCUAAUCCCGGAUAAUGUCUUCGGACCAAAGAUUUAUCGCCUUUGGAUGGGCCCGCGUUGGAUUAGCUAGUUGGUAGGGUAAAAGCCUACCAAGGCGACGAUCCAUAGCUGGUCUGAGAGGAUGAUCAGCCACACUGGGACUGAGACACGGCCCAGACUCCUACGGGAGGCAGCAGUGGGGAAUAUUGGACAAUGGGCGAAAGCCUGAUCCAGCAAUGCCGCGUGAGUGAUGAAGGCCUUAGGGUUGUAAAGCUCUUUUACCCGGGAUGAUAAUGACAGUACCGGGAGAAUAAGCGCCGGCUAACUCCGUG
This 433-nucleotide ribosomal RNA is filed under the name uncultured bacterium. Its description in RNAcentral is "partial 16S ribosomal RNA". It matches the Rfam family "Bacterial small subunit ribosomal RNA", at positions 29 to 507 of the family's 1533-position model. The record is from RNAcentral.